UACGGGUCCUACUCCUACGGGAGGCAGYAGUGCGGAAUUUUGGGCAAUGGGCGAAAGCCUGACCCAGCGACGUCGCGUGCGGGAUGAAGGUCUUCGGAUCGUAAACCGCUGUGGUAAGGGAAGAAAGCCUUAAGGAAUGGAAAGCCUUGGGGAGGGACGGUACCUUACUAGGAAGCCCCGGCUAACUACGUGCCAGCAGCCGCGGUAAUACGUAGGGGGCGAGCGUUGCCCGGAAUCACUGGGUGUAAAGGGAGCGUAGGCGGCCAUUUARGUCGACUGUGARAAGCAGGAGCUCAACUCCAGUCUUGCGGUCGAAACUGGAUGGCUUGAGGACGGUAGAGGAAGACGGAACUGCCAGUGUAGGGGUAAAAUCCUUAGAUAUUGGCAGGAACGCCGGUGACGARGGUGGUCUUCUGGGCCGGACCUGACGCUGAGGCUCGAAAGCCAGGGGAGCGAACGGGAUUAGAUACCCCGGUAGUC
Molecule: ribosomal RNA, 480 nt
Filed under: uncultured Thermotogales bacterium
Lineage: Bacteria; Thermotogati; Thermotogota; Thermotogae; Thermotogales
Description: bacterial SSU rRNA
Rfam family: Bacterial small subunit ribosomal RNA
Source: RNAcentral